CUGGGAGACGAGCCCCAGCCCCAGGAGUCCCAGGUGUUCCCAUUCUGUGAUCAGCACAGAACACACACACCUCACCAUGGAGUUUGUGCUGGGCUGGGUGUUCCUGGUUGCUCUUUUAAAAGGUGUCCAGUGUGACGUGCAGCUGGUGGAGUCUGGGGGAGACCUGGUGAAGCCUGGGGGGUCCCUGAGACUCACCAGUGUAGCCUCUGGAUUCACCUUCAGUAGUUCCAGCAUGAACUGGGUCCGUCAGGCUCCAGGAAAUGGGCUGCAGUGGGUCGCGUAUAUUAGUAGUAGUGGAGGUAGCACAAGCUACACAGACUCCGUGAAGGGCCAAUUCACCAUCUCCAGAGACAACGCCAAGAACACGCUGUAUCUGCAGAUUAACAACCGGAAGUCAGAGGACAUGGCCACAUAUUCCUGUGCAAGAAACAGGGUGAGGGGACCUCGCUGGGAGCUCACACGCAAACCUCCCUGCAGGAGGGGAUCAGCACCACCAGGGGGCGCACACUAUGCACAAUUCUGCUUUGUGUUCCCAGGAGCAGGUGAAGAUGGAGGUUACAGGGCCAGAGGGGACCACUGUUCCAGUUCAAACAAGCACAAGGAAAGUAAAAAUGAGGGAAUUCUUCCUCCCUCUGCAUCAGAUUCUAUUCAGAACCUUAAUGGAAUGGGUGAUGCCCAGACAGGAACCAUGGAAGGAAAUGCCAGUCUCUUCUGGAAACACAUCACAGACAUCCACAGAAACAGUGGUGAAUCUGGGCACCCAUGA
Non-coding RNA from Felis catus (domestic cat), 766 nucleotides. NCBI's taxonomy places the organism in Eukaryota, Metazoa, Chordata, Mammalia, Carnivora, Felidae. The record is from the annotation of a RefSeq genome assembly.